Molecule: transfer RNA, 74 nt
Filed under: Buceros bicornis
Lineage: Eukaryota; Metazoa; Chordata; Aves; Bucerotiformes; Bucerotidae
Also listed under: 1 other name
Description: tRNA-Asn
Source: RNAcentral
UAGGCAGAAGCCUGUUGGUUUGGGCGCUUAGCUGUUAACUAGGAGAAUUGCGGGGUCGAAGCCCGCCUGUCUAG